Molecule: small nuclear RNA, 107 nt
Organism: Hyaena hyaena (striped hyena)
Lineage: Eukaryota; Metazoa; Chordata; Mammalia; Carnivora; Hyaenidae
Source: RefSeq, a predicted model, not a curated record
GUGUUCGCUUCAGCAGCACAUAUACUAAAAUUGGAACAAUACAGAGAAGAUUGGCACGGCCCCUGUGCAAGGAUGAGAUGCAAAUUUGUGAAGUGUUCCAUAUUGAA